UACAUAGGCCUCGAGCGUUAGGCGGAAUCACUGGGCUUAAAGCGCGUGUAGGCGGGAGGGCACGUCCGUUGCUGAAAUCCCCCGGCUCAACCGGGGAACGGGCGCGGAUACGACCUUCCUGGAGGGGCGUAGGGGGACCUGGAACUUCCGGUGGAGCGGUGAAAUGCGUUGAGAUCGGAAGGAACGCCCGUGGCGAAAGCGAGGUCCUGGACGCCUACUGACGCUGAGACGCGAAAGCCAGGGGAGCGAACGGG
This 254-nucleotide ribosomal RNA is filed under the name uncultured bacterium. RNAcentral's name for it is "partial 16S ribosomal RNA". It matches the Rfam family "Bacterial small subunit ribosomal RNA", at positions 524 to 776 of the family's 1533-position model. The record is from RNAcentral.